GUGGUCUGUGGAAGACUGAGCGGUGACCCCACCAUUGAAGUUCAUUUACAUAAUGGUGUAGACGUUUGGAAGAAAGAAAUGAGAAGGACCGCACUGCCCACACUCCAAGUCCUCUUGCCCUGAAAACCGCAUCUGACCACCAGGACCUCAGGGAAACCAUGGCCUGAUGGAGGAAUAAAGAGAGUGAGAGAGACAGAGAGAGGUGGAGAGGCUUUGGCCCCACAGCAGCUGAUGGUGGUAUUAAGAUAUUAAUUGCUUUUUGACAUUAUUUGGUUGCGGGCGGGUCGGUGAGCCCUUGUUUUACACUGAAGGCCACACAGACUAAAACACACUUCAUUCUGCCUCUGCCUGAAAGCAGCAUUGAGUCUAAUAUGUGAAAUGCUACAAAGGACUGUAAUGAAAUAAAUAUGCUAGGCUUAAUUUCCAAUAUUGCAUGCAAAAACAAAACAAAUGUUCAUA
Long non-coding RNA from Cyprinus carpio carpio, 459 nucleotides. The record is from Ensembl. Lineage: Eukaryota; Metazoa; Chordata; Actinopteri; Cypriniformes; Cyprinidae.